GUGCUCACUUUGGCAGCACAUAUACUAAAAUUGGAACGAUACAUAGAAGAUUAGCACGGCCUCUGCACAAGGGUGACAAAUAAAUUCUUGAAGCAUUCUAUUUAAAA
Small nuclear RNA from Microtus ochrogaster (prairie vole), 107 nucleotides. NCBI's taxonomy places the organism in Eukaryota, Metazoa, Chordata, Mammalia, Rodentia, Cricetidae. The record is from Ensembl.